Fukomys damarensis (Damara mole-rat) is the source of this 1036-nucleotide long non-coding RNA. The record is from Ensembl. NCBI's taxonomy places the organism in Eukaryota, Metazoa, Chordata, Mammalia, Rodentia, Bathyergidae.
UGUAGGAGCUGGAGUCCAAAUGCUGAACAAUCGAGUAAAGGAAGGCUUUGGGUAGGAAAAGAAUCUUGAUGCCUUAGCUCUUUUUCAAAAUGAAAAACAAAGGUAUAUGAGCUCUGUUGGUUUAUUCUUUCUGUUGCAUACAUCUUCUCAGCAGAUGGCAUGGAAAAGACCUGUCACAGCGGACACUGUGAAGGCCCAUCCUAGUACAAUCCGCAGAGUCUCAGGUGUCCAGACACCUGCGGGCAGAGCAGCAGCCGGGCAGUGGCCUGGGAGGCCCGGACACUGCUUCCUCUAUAACCUCAGGGCUGCGUCAGCUCAAGACUUUGGACAAACUCUCCUGUCCCACGGGCCGCUCCGCCCCCGCCAGCUGGAGAAGCAGGACCAUUUACGCUCACACCUGUCUGAGUUUCCUGGAUUUUCUUUAUUGAAGACCCUGGUUUGAGAAGUCCACACCUCGGUUAUUGCAUCCCCGGUUGUGCACUGGUAGGAAGCAUGAAGACUGAUAUGAAAGGGCCCGCUGUGUUCCUCACGUCACCGAGUGAUCCCUUCACGGCUCAUGUUCUGAGGCUGAAGAUGCCACGUGGCGUUUUUCCCCCGCAACCUGUGUGACAUCCGGACAGAGGAGUGGAGCCAGAGGCUGACACUGAAAGAUUCGAAUAAGUAGGAAGCUGUGUGGUUCUCAAGAGGGUUUUAUAAGACGUUGCCAAUUUUCUCUUUGGAAGAUGCGGGGAAGAUUAUAGAGAUAGGAAAUCCAGCUGAGCUUUAAUUCCAAUAAUGAAAUCAAGCACUAACCUGGGUAAGGAAAUUCCUUUUCUAUAAAUUGGAACUGUCAAAUUCCCCACAAAUUCAAAUUGAGGAUACACACAGGAAAUCUGGUUGUUAAAUUCCUCUAGAAAUUCUUGAAAUUUCUAACAACAUAUUUUAUCUGUAAGGAAUUUUUUGUUUGUUUGUGUGGUUCAUUGUUGUUUGAGAAAGAGGGUUUUUGUGCUCCUACUUCCUCAGACUACUGAGUGCUGGGGUUGCAGGCAUUCACCAC